RNAcentral lists this ribosomal RNA (1186 nucleotides) under Bacillus safensis subsp. safensis. RNAcentral's name for it is "bacterial SSU rRNA". It matches the Rfam family "Bacterial small subunit ribosomal RNA", at positions 188 to 1360 of the family's 1533-position model. The record is from RNAcentral. Lineage: Bacteria; Bacillati; Bacillota; Bacilli; Caryophanales; Bacillaceae.
CAUGGUUCAAGGAUGAAAGACGGUUUCGGCUGUCACUUACAGAUGGACCCGCGGCGCAUUAGCUAGUUGGUGGGGUAAUGGCUCACCAAGGCGACGAUGCGUAGCCGACCUGAGAGGGUGAUCGGCCACACUGGGACUGAGACACGGCCCAGACUCCUACGGGAGGCAGCAGUAGGGAAUCUUCCGCAAUGGACGAAAGUCUGACGGAGCAACGCCGCGUGAGUGAUGAAGGUUUUCGGAUCGUAAAGCUCUGUUGUUAGGGAAGAACAAGUGCGAGAGUAACUGCUCGCACCUUGACGGUACCUAACCAGAAAGCCACGGCUAACUACGUGCCAGCAGCCGCGGUAAUACGUAGGUGGCAAGCGUUGUCCGGAAUUAUUGGGCGUAAAGGGCUCGCAGGCGGUUUCUUAAGUCUGAUGUGAAAGCCCCCGGCUCAACCGGGGAGGGUCAUUGGAAACUGGGAAACUUGAGUGCAGAAGAGGAGAGUGGAAUUCCACGUGUAGCGGUGAAAUGCGUAGAGAUGUGGAGGAACACCAGUGGCGAAGGCGACUCUCUGGUCUGUAACUGACGCUGAGGAGCGAAAGCGUGGGGAGCGAACAGGAUUAGAUACCCUGGUAGUCCACGCCGUAAACGAUGAGUGCUAAGUGUUAGGGGGUUUCCGCCCCUUAGUGCUGCAGCUAACGCAUUAAGCACUCCGCCUGGAGGAGUACGGUCGCAAGACUGAAACUCAAAGGAAUUGACGGGGGCCCGCACAAGCGGUGGAGCAUGUGGUUUAAUUCGAAGCAACGCGAAGAACCUUACCAGGUCUUGACAUCCUCUGACAACCCUAGAGAUAGGGCUUUCGCCUUCGGGGACAGAGUGACAGGUGGUGCAUGGUUGUCGUCAGCUCGUGUCGUGAGAUGUUGGGUUAAGUCCCGCAACGAGCGCAACCCUUGAUCUUAGUUGCCAGCAUUCAGUUGGGCACUCUAAGGUGACUGCCGGUGACAAACCGGAGGAAGGUGGGGAUGACGUCAAAUCAUCAUGCCCCUUAUGACCUGGGCUACACACGUGCUACAAUGGACAGAACAAAGGGCUGCAAGACCGCAAGGUUUAGCCAAUCCCAUAAAUCUGUUCUCAGUUCGGAUCGCAGUCUGCAACUCGACUGCGUGAAGCUGGAAUCGCUAGUAAUCGCGGAUCAGCAUGCCGC